Arvicola amphibius (Eurasian water vole) is the source of this 2373-nucleotide long non-coding RNA. RefSeq lists it as uncharacterized. NCBI's taxonomy places the organism in Eukaryota, Metazoa, Chordata, Mammalia, Rodentia, Cricetidae. The transcript is spliced from 3 exons. The record is from RefSeq and is a predicted model, not a curated record.
UUGCCUAAUGGUGUCUCUUUGUUUUCAUUAUCCCCGAUUAACUCAGAACCCUGCUCCUGGGCCCCUUUGUGGAAACAGCUGUGCUGUGGAGGGAAGAGAGCAAGACCAAACAAAUGGAGGCCACACCUCGCCAUUGUAUAAACUCAGCCUAGGACCCAGGAGGGUACCACUCAUAUUCAAGGUGGAUCUUUCCCCUCAGUAGAACCUCUCCAGAAACACAUCCACAGACUCCCAUCUACAGCUGUUCCUGAGCCUCACAAGGUCUCCCUAAGCAGACAGAGAAAGUAAGACACCAUGGCCCCACAACCCUCAUGUCUUCAUGGUGGCUCCAAACAAGAAAGCUGCCUGCAAGGCAACCGCCAGGAUGCUCUGUUGUCUACAUUCCGUCAUGUUCGCAGCAAGGCUGCAGAAGCAGUCUGCCAGCUCUUCUUCCUCUUCUUCCUCCUCCUCUUCUUCCUCCUUUGCCCCCUCCCCCUCCUACUUGUACCUGCAUUCCUCCUUUGAGACAGGAGCUUGUUUUGUAGCUUGUUUUGGCUUGGACUAUGGCUCCUCCUGCCUCAGACUCCCCAAGUAUUAUUACAUUUGCAGCCACAGGCCCUACAAAACCACUUUCCUGAUGUACAGAGUCGCUAUCCAAAAACAUGUGAACAACGGACUCUUUCCAACUUCAUUGUGUAGUAGCUCCACUCAGUUUUUUUCUUUUUUUACCGUUUCAAUUCAAUACAGAUGCUUCUCACAACUGACUUACGAAGUUAGGCUUUGUGAUUCUGACCAAUGUGGUGUCAAAUAGAAAGAAUUUAUUUCAUUUAUUCAUUCAAGUAUCAAGCUUUUUACCGAGUAUGGUUGCUCUUACCUGUAAUUCCAGCACGCACUUGGGAGGCAGAGGCAGGAGGAUUACUAGGAAUCUGAGGCCACUCUAGGUUACAGAGUUAAGUUGUAGACCCACGGGCCUUGGCUAGAGAGUGAGACUGUCACAAAUAAAUAGUUUGUGCUCUAUGCCAGGCACUGCUCUAAAUCCUAAGGAAUUAGUGAUGGACAAGACAAAGUCCCUGUUGUCACUGAGUUUACUUUCUCAUGCAGAACGGGAAACAACUAAAAUUCGAAGACUAGAAGGAAAUAGUUCUUCCCAGAGCAUUGAAGACAUGUUGCACAGACAGGUCUUCCAUGGCUAAUUUAGACAGAGUGCUCAGGUGAGUUCUCAGGAGGGAACAUUUAGGAGAGAUCUGAAGGAUAAAGACAGAGCCAACCAAGCUCAAGGGAGCAGCAUUCCCGGCAAGGGAAUAACUAAUACCAAACCAUCAUAGCAGGAAUGGGAAGUAGGCUGCUCUGACUGGGACACUGUGGUCAGAGGUAAACCAGCUCUGUUUGCAAAAGGCUUUGGGAGCAAAGGGGGGGGGGGCUACUGUAGGUGGGAUGGGAAGGUUCUGGAGAGUUUAUCUUGUUUUCUGCUUUUGUUUGAGAUUGUGUCUUGCUAUGUAGUCCGGGCUGACCUCGAUUUCACAGCGCCUCCUCCUUCCUCGGUGCUGCCAUGCUCAGCUUAUUGGGGAGUUAACCAGUUGGUGAGGAGGUUGGAUUUGCUGUUUUGUUUGGUUGGUUCUUUGGUUGUCAUUGUUUUUGGAACUAGAUCUCAUGUAGCCCAGCCUGGCUUCGAGCUCCCAGCAAUCUCAAACUCACAGCAUUCUUUGUGCUUCACUCCUCCGAGUGCUGGGAUCACAGGCAAUACCGCUCCAUUCACCUCUUCUGAAUUCUGGGAGGCCAAGCAUACAAAUGCCAACGCAGGGUAGACAGUGACCUAAGGGAGUUCAGAGAUGUUAGGGGCUAGUUAUACAGAUUUGAGCAUCAUUGAUCCAGAAGUGUACUUCAAACCAUGGGACUCGAUGAAUCCCCAGGUGGAAGAUAUGAACAGAGGAAAAAAGAGUUGUGAUCUGUAUCUUUAGAGCCCACCUACCAUCAGAGGCCUUUGAAGAAGAGGGAGCUGACAAAACAGGAGCAGAGAAGCUUGGUAUGGUGGUGAAUGCCUAUAACCUCAGUUACCCAAGAGAGUAGCUGAGAAUCAUGAGUUCAAGGACAACCUGGGACAUAUAGGAAGAGUCUGUCUCUACAUUUCAAAAAGGAGAACUGGGCUAGCUUAUUGGCUGACUUCUCUAGUAUGCGUGCCUCAGUUUGAUCCCAAGUACAGAAAAACAAAACAGAAUUAACUAGCCAGUGUGUAAGAAAGGGGAAGAAUAGGAAAAGCUAGGUGACCCUAGAGUCCUGGAAGCCUUCAGAAGGAGUGAUCACCGGGAUCAACCUACCCCAGGACCCAGCAAUUCCACUAUUGGGAAUCUACCCAAGAGAUGCCCAAUCAUACAACAAAAGCAUAUGCUCAUCUAU